RNAcentral lists this ribosomal RNA (398 nucleotides) under uncultured bacterium. RNAcentral's name for it is "bacterial SSU rRNA". It matches the Rfam family "Bacterial small subunit ribosomal RNA", at positions 358 to 773 of the family's 1533-position model. The record is from RNAcentral.
GGAAUAUUGGACAAUGGGGGCAACCCUGAUCCAGCCAUGCCGCGUGAGUGAUGAAGGCCCUAGGGUUGUAAAGCUCUUUCACCGGUGAAGAUAAUGACGGUAACCGGAGAAGAAGCCCCGGCUAACUUCGUGCCAGCAGCCGCGGUAAUACGAAGGGGGCUAGCGUUGUUCGGAAUUACUGGGCGUAAAGCGCACGUAGGCGGACAUUUAAGUCAGGGGUGAAAUCCCGGGGCUCAACCCCGGAACUGCCUCUGAUACUGGGUGUCUUGAGUUCGAGAGAGGUGAGUGGAAUUCCGAGUGUAGAGGUGAAAUUCGUAGAUAUUCGGAGGAACACCAGUGGCGAAGGCGGCUCACUGGCUCGAUACUGACGCUGAGGUGCGAAAGCGUGGGGAGCAAAC